GAUGAACGCUGGCGGCGUGCCUAAUACAUGCAAGUCGAGCGAACAGACGAGGAGCUUGCUCCUCUGACGUUAGCGGCGGACGGGUGAGUAACACGUGGAUAACCUACCUAUAAGACUGGGAUAACUUCGGGAAACCGGAGCUAAUACCGGAUAAUAUAUUGAACCGCAUGGUUCAAUAGUGAAAGACGGUUUUGCUGUCACUUAUAGAUGGAUCCGCGCCGCAUUAGCUAGUUGGUAAGGUAACGGCUUACCAAGGCAACGAUGCGUAGCCGACCUGAGAGGGUGAUCGGCCACACUGGAACUGAGACACGGUCAAGACUCCUACGGGAGGCAGCAGUAGGGAAUCUUCAGCAAUGGGCGAAAGCUUGACGGAGCAACGCCGCGUGAGUGAUGAAGGUCUUCGGAUCGUAAAACUCUGUUAUUAGGGAAGAACAAAUGUGUAAGUAACUAUGCACGUCUUGACGGUACCUAAUCAGAAAGCCACGGCUAACUACGUG
Molecule: ribosomal RNA, 497 nt
Filed under: uncultured bacterium
Lineage: Bacteria
Description: partial 16S ribosomal RNA
Rfam family: Bacterial small subunit ribosomal RNA
Source: RNAcentral